AACGAACGCUGGCGGCAUGCCUAACACAUGCAAGUCGAACGAGACCUUCGGGUCUAGUGGCGCACGGGUGCGUAACGCGUGGGAACCUGCCCUUAGGUUCGGAAUAACUCCCCGAAAGGGGUGCUAAUACCGGAUAAUAUCUUCUGACCAAAGAUUUAUCGCCUUUGGAUGGGCCCGCGUUGGAUUAGCUAGUUGGUAGGGUAAAAGCCUACCAAGGCGACGAUCCAUAGCUGGUCUGAGAGGAUGAUCAGCCACACUGGGACUGAGACACGGCCCAGACUCCUACGGGAAGCAGCAGUGGGGAAUAGUGGACAAUGGGCGAAAGCCUGAUCCAGCAAUGCCGCGUGAGUGAUGAAGGCCUUAGGGUUGUAAAGCGCUUUUACCCGGGAUGAUAAUGACAGUACCGGGAGAAUAAGCCCCGGCUAACUCCGUG
Molecule: ribosomal RNA, 433 nt
Filed under: uncultured bacterium
Lineage: Bacteria
Description: partial 16S ribosomal RNA
Rfam family: Bacterial small subunit ribosomal RNA
Source: RNAcentral